GGUAUAGUGACCGAGUGGUUAGGUUAAGGUCUGCAAAACCUUAUACAUAAGUUCGAAUCUUAUCUAUACCU
RNAcentral lists this transfer RNA (71 nucleotides) under Caudoviricetes sp. Its description in RNAcentral is "tRNA-Cys". It matches the Rfam family "tRNA". Rfam says of the family: Transfer RNA (tRNA) molecules are approximately 80 nucleotides in length. The record is from RNAcentral. Lineage: Duplodnaviria; Heunggongvirae; Uroviricota; Caudoviricetes.